AAGGAAUUCUGUAGCAUGUUUUUUGAAGUACAGAGAUCCAAUAAGCCUUACAAAUGAUAAGAAACCAUGUUCCUCUGUGUCUGAUGAUAGAUAACCAGGUACUAUGUUUUGGUUACCUGUUAUAAAAUCUGCAUAUUGGAAUAAAGUAUUGAAAAAGAGAGCCUUGCCAAAACCAACAAAAAAUGAAAUAUAAUCACAGCCAC
RNAcentral lists this long non-coding RNA (203 nucleotides) under Mytilus galloprovincialis (Mediterranean mussel). The record is from RNAcentral. Lineage: Eukaryota; Metazoa; Mollusca; Bivalvia; Mytilida; Mytilidae.